RNAcentral lists this ribosomal RNA (225 nucleotides) under uncultured bacterium. RNAcentral's name for it is "partial 16S ribosomal RNA". It matches the Rfam family "Bacterial small subunit ribosomal RNA", at positions 943 to 1167 of the family's 1533-position model. The record is from RNAcentral.
GGUUUAAUUCGAUGAUACGCGAGGAACCUUACCCGGGCUUGAAUUGCAGAGGAAGAAUUUGGAGACAAUGAACGCCCUUCGGGGUCUCUGUGAAGGUGCUGCAUGGUUGUCGUCAGCUCGUGCCGUGAGGUGUCGGCUUAAGUGCCAUAACGAGCGCAACCCCUCUCCUUAGUUGCCAUCAGGUCAAGCUGGGCACUCUGGGGACACUGCCACCGUAAGGUGUGA